RNAcentral lists this transfer RNA (74 nucleotides) under Planctomycetota bacterium. Its description in RNAcentral is "tRNA-Met". It matches the Rfam family "tRNA". Rfam says of the family: Transfer RNA (tRNA) molecules are approximately 80 nucleotides in length. Lineage: Bacteria; Pseudomonadati; Planctomycetota. RNAcentral also lists the same sequence under 1 other name. The record is from RNAcentral.
GGCGAUGUAGCUCAGUCGGAUAGAGCGAGGGAUUCAUAAACCCUAGGUCGGCGGUUCAAGUCCGCCCAUCGCCA